This is a long non-coding RNA of Physella acuta, 1973 nucleotides long. RefSeq lists it as uncharacterized. Lineage: Eukaryota; Metazoa; Mollusca; Gastropoda; Physidae. The record is from RefSeq and is a predicted model, not a curated record.
AAUUUUAUCAAGAUGGCCGCUUAGCUAGCAACUAGCCUAAGUUAGACUUUUCCUUUGAUAGAAUGUAAGUAUGUUGAGUAGGCCUUUAAUUCAAACAUGGGGGAUGAACUUUUUAGUGAUGCAGGUUGUGCUCCGCUACAUGAGAUACACCUUAAGCUACCAAAUGGGGAUGUAAAACCCAAUUUUGAAUUUAUACUUAUGCUGGAGGUUGGAGAAGAAAUAAAGAGAAUUUGUGAAGAUCUGCAACUCACAUAUAGGGCGGAUGAAUUACAGAUGGUUUUGUUUCCCACAAAUGGAAAGUCAGAAAUCUUGGACAAAACAAGGACUUUAGAAAGUUAUCUGCAUAAUUUAUCCAGUGGAUACAUACAACUCCAAUGCAUAUAAAAUCUGUAACUUUUGUUGUGUAAAUCAUUCUUUUCGAAAUAUUUUUAACUUCAGAUCUAUUUAAAUUUUUUAUGAAAUUGUGUAAAUUGGGUAAUUAUUGACAAAAAGAAUAUUUUUUAAAAUCUGAUACGUAAAUUUCAAUCAAUUGGAAAGACUAUAAUUUUGGUAUACAUGGAGCUUGGGGUCUGUCUACAUUAUUCUAAAACCUAAAAAAAAAUUAUACAUUUUUUAUAAUAAAAUAAUUUAUAAUUAAUAAUAAAUUUCCUUCAUUUAAUCUAAAAGAAGACCAUGUGUCUUAACUACAGUGUUGUUAGUUUUGAAAGCUUGUUAGAAGAUUUAUAAUUUUUCUAAGUAUGUUUACAUUUUUUUGACAAAGAAAUAAUUGAUAUCUUCCUCACAUUAAAUUAACAUUAAUGCAAAUGAUGUUUUUUUUUUAACUAGUAAAAGUGUACUUAUAACUGGAAACUUUUUUUUUUAACUAUACUAUAUGAUACAUUAAGAUUUUCCAAAAAAAAACUAUGAUUGUUCAAAUGAUUUUAUAUUUAUAAAUCAGUAAUUUUUUUUGAAUGCUUUUAUCUGACUUCUCAAAAUUGUAAUUGGGAUAUGGCCAUUAUUUUUGUUGAGUAUUUUCUAACAUGAAUUCAGGCAUAUAAGCAGAAGUUUAGCAGUUACAGUUUUUGUCUCUUCAAUAAAUGUCUUGUACUCUAUGGAGAGUAAUUUUAUAUUAACCACUGGGUGGAUGCAAUAAGACUGUUUAUGUUUUUUCUUUUGUUUAAAUUUUAUUUGUUUGUGCUUUUACAACGCAUCUCUCAUAAUUUCAAUAAUAUUUGUGUAGCAAUUAAAUAUUUUACAAGUGAUACAUGUCAUAUUUAUUAGGCAGAGAUUUUUACUGGCUUUGUCCAAAAACUUGACUUGGUUGAUUGAAACAUUUAUCCAUUAUUUAUCCAUUAAUCAGAGAGUUCUAAUGACUGUAAAUCACGCUAACAUUUCUUACGCUGCCUUAAGUCUUUGCACAUGUUUAUAGAAAUUUUAACGAAUUCCUGGUUGUCUGUAGGCAAAAGUGGUUUUGGGUUUUUAUUUUCUUUUGAACUAAGAAUUGAUCUUAUAAAGACUUGUCUAUUACUACUGCAUUCCAUGUAUGUGAUAAAAGUAUUGUAAUAUUUUUUUUCAAAUGCAUAAUUAUAAUAGCAAUGCUAAAUGACUUCAUUCAAUAACCAAAGCAAUGCAUUGUAUGUUGUUUCGGAUAGUAAGAAGGGUAAACUUGUUUCAAAAGCUUUCACUUUUUUAAAACCAUUUAGUUACUUAUAUUUAAAAAAAAAAGUAUUUGUAUUGCAAAUGGUAUUUCAGAGUAACUGUAUUGAAGAAAACGCAGAUAACUAUACUUAAAAAGGUGACAUGUGUAGCCUACAAACCUAAUAUUUUGGCAUUUCUUAUACAAUUGUUAAGUAUUAUUCAAGAUUUUUUUUUCAUCCUUGUUCUUUAAAUUUUAUUUUAAAAAUGUUUAUGUAUCUAUUUUAAAAUGUUUCUACAUCAUUAUCAAUAUUAUUUGAUGACAAGUUAUUGCUCAAAGACAAUACAUGAUUUAAAAC